GAAAAGAGCGAGGUGACAGGCGUUGUGAGUUCUUGGGAACGCAGCUACCCGUGUAAACAGUAGUGUACAGAUCUCGCCGAACUGGUUUCAGAGGAUAGAACAAAUCCAGUGAACUAGCAAGGAAAAGAAGACAAUUGACUUGGAUCCUGGUUAUAGGCAGUGGG
Lacerta agilis (Sand lizard) is the source of this 164-nucleotide long non-coding RNA. RefSeq lists it as uncharacterized. NCBI's taxonomy places the organism in Eukaryota, Metazoa, Chordata, Lepidosauria, Squamata, Lacertidae. The record is from RefSeq and is a predicted model, not a curated record. The transcript is spliced from 2 exons.